Molecule: long non-coding RNA, 6200 nt
Filed under: Sus scrofa (pig)
Lineage: Eukaryota; Metazoa; Chordata; Mammalia; Artiodactyla; Suidae
Description: lncRNA (ENSSSCG00040069773.1)
Source: RNAcentral
GACAGCUCUACAAAAUGUUCCUUUAAUGCAUUUUAUGGGUUCUUCUAAAGUCAUUACUAUGUGCUGGAUAUUGUAUUAGGUGCUAAGAAUACAAGAAGAAAACACAUGUCUCUUCCCUCAUGAAGCUUAUAUUCUGCCAGAGAAAUGCUACAUUGCAUUUUAAAUUUUAUUUAUGCAACUGUCCUAAUGAAGUAUUUGAGAUGCUAGGUGAAGAAUUUGGAGAUUGCUGGCAGUAUCCAUUUCUGGAGAUUAUUACUAUGGAGAUUUUUAUACUUUGAAAAAAAAAAUCACCUUUACUCCCACAGAAGUGAGGAGAAAACCAGAAAGUCACCGCCAGUCAUAAUAACUGAGGGUAGUUGGAGGAACAGCUGCAAGUUUCAGGAAAGACGAACUGUCUCAAUAUGCAAGAUGACCUUUCUUAGAACUGGAACUUACAAGAAAUCAGGCAGCAUGUUCUAAACACUAACAACCUAAAAACUAAAAAAUGAACAAACAAAAAUGAUGCUGGAUAAUCAUAGAGGCUGGAUAUUCACAGAUAGUAUGGGUUCAGGGAGUGCUUCUGCCUUGGGAAGGAGGUUGAAGUAGAUUGCCUUUGAGGUUUCUUUAUAGCCUAAGGAAACUAAAAUACAUACAGCAAUUGUGAAGUUAUAUAUUCUCAAGAGAAAGAUUUCUCAACCACCAAAUAUACCCAAGAUGCUAAUAUUCUAUUUAUGUUUUAUAAUUAUUUAACAACGAUCUCAAACCAGAGUAAAGAAAAACAGGCUUUGUUAAUUACUGAAGAGAGAAUAAAAUUAUAGCUUUUACCAGAUAUUCUUUUGCCUUGUUAGAAAUCUUACUAUUCAUUGGUCAAACAUCUGUCAUAUUAUAUAGGUAAAUCACUAUGGUCAAUGGUCAGUCCAGUGCCCCCCAACCCCCCCACCAUCACCAGCACCAGCUCCCUGGAAAUGUUUCUAAAAUCUUUCCAAUUGCUUCUGCCUCUAUGUUCCAAUUAAUUUGUCACCCAUGUAUCUGAGUUUAGUGCCAACUUCAGAUAACUCAUUUUGUCUUAUGAUAAUUUAACCUGCCACUCCUUGCUUCUAUAAUUUAUAAGUACAACCUCCACAGUAAAAAUAAAAACUCACAUUUUUGAUAAGCAGCCUCUACAAGUUGACUGGAACUUAGUCACUGAUUUCUAAGCUAUUAAGUAUUUGAUUACACCCCUUCCUCCAGCUCUGAUUCAAAAAGUGCUUCUGGGAAAGACUUGCUUCACUUUCAAACUGUGGUGAGACAUCACAGGAAGAGCUCUUGGGUUGGUUUUUAAGGAAGAGUCCAGGUUAACCUAACACCAGAACACAGUACAACUAUACCCGACCACUGGUUCCUCACCUUGCAGGCAAACCAGGCUGAACUGUCUCCUAAAUUGUGUAUCAAAUUAUUUCUUGGGUUCAGAACAACCUCAGUGGUUGGCACAUCAGUAAUAGCUUUAGUAGCUGACAUUUAUAGAUGCUAUUUUUUUGGAACUUUACAGAGAGCUUUAUAUAUAGUUUCUCAUUGAAUCCUUGCAACAACCCUCUGAAGAAGGUUCUAUUUUUACCAUUUUAUAGGGUCUGAGGCUUAGCAGAGUUAGGUACUGGCCUAAAGCCAGUCAGUAAAGGCAGCACCCUUGGGACUGGAACCUGGGGUAAUAUGCUUUUAGCACAGCAAAGAAGGAGACAGUAAGAUGUGAUAGGCUAUGGGAGAAAGCUGGGCCAUCACCUUUUCCUUUCUCCAUGCCUGACUGCCCUACCUACGGAAUCUCACUCCCACCUAUUCUUUUCCUUUUUCCUUUUUAGGGCUGCACCUAUGGCAUAUGGAAUUUCCCAGGCUAAGGGUCGAAUCGAAGCUGCAGCUGGUGGCCUAAGCCACAGCCACAGCAAAGCCAAAUCCGAGCUGCAUCUGCAACCUAUGCCUCAGCUCAUGGCAACACCAGCACCUUAACCCACUGAGCGAGCCCAGGAACUAUUAUCCUCAUGGAUACUAGUCGGGUUCUUAAGCUGAUAAGCCACAACAGUAAUUCCUCACUCUCACCUAUUCUUAACAAAUAAACAUUUACUUUGUUUUUGUUUUAUUUUACCUUACGGAAAUAGUCUACUACUUGGUAAAGUUUCUAUUUAAUGCAUCCAGAUACAGAGAGGUUCCUCUCUACACAGCCAUGUAAAGCUCUGCUAAAGGAUAAGCUAAGUGAGUGAUUUACCAGAAACAGAAUAAAAAAGGGAAACUGCUCUGGACUUGAAGGGGGAAAAUAUGGAGACUUUGCAACCAUGAAGGAAGACAGAGCAGUGAAUACCUGUGUAUUCUUCUGUUUCCUAAUUGAAAUGGGCACUGGCACAACAGGGACUAUUGCUAUCAGCCCCAUCAGAGAUGUGCAGCUUGAUAAGGAAUGUCCAAGAGUCAUUUGAGGGCUGAUUAGUGGGGAAUGGGGCCUUUGAAAGACUCUAGGCACUGAAAAUUUUGAUGCCCUAUUCCCUCCACUCUAUAUAAUUAAAAAACAAUACUGUACCAACCCAUAAAAUAGAAAUCAUACAUAUAUGUUGGAACUAAUAUUGCUUUUUUCUUAUUAAAAAAAAAAAUCUGGUCUCUCUCUUUUGAGUGUGUUGUUGGAUUGAGCACUGUUUAUUUUUGUCUACUAGUAAUCCAGUGCUAGGCAGUCAAAAUUUAAGGUUCUAGAAGGCCAAUUAACUGCAAAGAGAAAAAAAUGAGUUAAUCUAAAGCUUAUCAGCCAAACAAACCAAAAAAUGGGCAGAAGAUCUCAAUAGACAUUUUUUUCUAAGACAGAAAGAUGGCCAAAAACACAUUAAAAAGAUGCUUGACAUUGCCAAGUAUUAGAGAAAUGCAAAUCAAAACUACAAUGAGAUAUGACUUAACAACAGUCAGAAUGGCCAUCAUCAAAAGUCUACAAACAAUAAUGGCUGGAGAGGGUGUGGAGAAAAGGGAACCCUCCUACCUUGUGGGUGGGAAUGUAAAUUGGUAUAACCAUUCUGGAGAACAGUAUGAAUGUUCCUCAAAAAACUAAAAAAAAAGAAUAAGCAUAUGAUCCAGCAAUCCCACUCAUAGGCAUAUACUCAGAGAAAACCAUAAUUCAAAAAGAUACAUGCACCCCUAUGGUCACUGCAGCACUGUUUACAAUAGCCAAGAAAUGGAAGCAACCUAAACAUCUACUGACAGAUGAAUGGUUUAAGAAGAUGUGGUACAUACACAAAAUGAAAUAUUACUUAGCCAUAAGAAAGAGUGAAAUAAUGCCAUUUGCAUCAACAUGGAUGGACCUAGAGAUUAUCACACUGAUAUCUCAGAUAUCCCUUAUACAUGGAAUCUAAUAAAAAUGAUACAAAAGAACUUAUUUAUAAAACAGAAACAAAGAGAUUUUGAAACCCAGCUUAUAGUUACCAUAGGAGAAACCAUGGGGGGAGGGAUAAAUUAGGAACAGAAUAACAUAUACACACCACUGUAUAUAAAAAUAGAUAAUUAACAAGGACCUACUAUAUAACACAGGGAAAUCUAUUUAAUACUCUGUAAAAACCUAUAUGGGCAAAAAGAAUGGAUAUAUGAAUAUGUACAACUAACUCACCUUGAUGUACACCUAAAACUAUAUAACAUUGUAAGUCCACUAUACUUCAAUAAAAUAAAAAAAUAAAUAAACCUCAUCAGUGUCUAACUUGAAUGUAUAACAAUACUUCACUAAGACUCAAGCAAUGAAGUACAUCAGCAGUUUUCAAAUGUUUUGGGAAACCCCAAGUCCUAUAGAGAAGAUUCUGGGACUGCUCGGAACUGGGAUGGGUGAGGAAGCAGGACAGGAAAACCAAGGGCUCCUUACCCCCUUCCCACCCCAGAGUAAUUCCGCUUUGAUCUAAUUUAUGCAUUUAAAAGGCCUACAAAAGAUUUUAUUUGUAAAUGGGGCUAUGCCACUGAAUCAAAAGUAUAGCACUGUACGAUUGUCAUUUUAACGAUGGCAACGGAUCACAAAAGUAUUUGUUUUUUUCUGACUCUGGAACUAAAUCCCUGAAUCAAUCCAACUAAUGUAUAUACUCUGUGAGGACAGACUAGCCUUCAUCCUCAUCUUCAUAUGCCCAUGCAGCCAGUAGAACCCUACCCACUAUGGGGACUAGCAAAGUGUUGACUGAAUACGUGGUGUGUCCCCCUCCCCCAAUAUUACAUAAAUAUAAAAGUUAUCUGCUUCUCAGAAAGUUCAUGACAGAAAAUGAAACAGGCUGUUUUCAAAUGGAGUUGAUAAGACCUGCAGUACAUUUAGUCCAACACUUUCUGGCUUCCCAGUCCAAGUAUUUUAUUUUAGUAAUUGAUUUGGGUUGCAAUCUAUUCAAGUGUAAUCACAUCUCCAACUUUUUAUUGAAUUUAAUUUCUUGGGAUAUUUGCUGCAUGAUAUAGUAAAGGUGUUGAAGUAUACCAGACACACUAUUCUAAUUUCCCAGACAAACUUUGAGUGACUGAUUCCAGGAUGACAGCAGCUUUGCUUUCAUAACUAUUUUAAAAAACACUUCUGGUAUCAAAAAUUAUAAAAACCAGCAAACAAAAAACCAUUCAAACCAAACAAAAUGCAGAGUUGAACUUCCCCCAGAGGGGAGCAGGAAUCUUGGAAUCCAUUCAAAGCCCUUAGUGUGGAUGCAGGUAAAUGAGGUUUGCCCGGGGCCUCUGAAGGUCCCCUCCCUUUCAAUCUGUUCGUCCUUUUGUGACACUCUUCACAACCUUCAGGCCUCUCCUUUCCUCUUGCCUACUGAAAAGAGAAUGUGAUAAACCUAGUCAUGCUAAGAUGUAGCAGGUGGAGCAAUUUAACGUGUCACCCUCUCCUUGAAAGAAGACUGGCAGAUAAGAAACAUCAAGUCAAUGCUGUCACAUUAGUGAUCUGGAUAAUUCUAACGAUUUUUCUCUUCAAUCUUCUUCAAAAAAUUUUUACAAAGCCAGGGGAAGCUUAAUCUCAGCACAUUUAUACUGACAAAGCAUGACUAAUAAAAUGGCCCCUGCCCUCCAUGAACUUAACAUUAGUGAAGGUAUUUACAGGUUACUUGCAUUUCUUCUAGAGAUAAUUUAAAGGAUGAGCAAGGUAUCCAAUAGUAACUGUAGCUACUUCUGCCUUUCCUACUCUGAAAGAACAAGCCAGAUGUGAUGUGGAUGUACUAAUCCCAUAUGGCAUAUUUCUUCAACCACCAAAUGAAAGCAAAUGCUUUAGCUUGACAUUCAAGGCCUCCCAUAAUCUGACUCCUCCUGCCUGGUCAACCCUAUUUCUAAUUCCCAAUAUACACAAUUAAACCAUUUCAAGCCCUCAGCAUUCUCUGUUCUUUUAUGUUUUUUAAAAAAAUAUCUACUUCCAUGGAAACAAAUACCCCAAAGCCUACUGGUUAAAAUAAUAAACAUUUAUUAUCUUAUAAAUUUAGGAAAUGCUUAGCUGGGUGGUUUCUGGCUUGGAAUUUCUCAGGAGGCUGACAUCACCCUUGGUAGAUCUGCUUCUGAGGGCUCAUUUAAAAGCUGGUGGUGGUUGUUGAGGGGGGGUCUCAGUUUCUCUCCACAUGGCUCUCUUCUACUACUGUUGGAGUGUAGUUGUUGGCCUCUCACUCACUUCGGUAAGUGACCCACGAAAGUGCUUAGGUGCAACCUCUCCUUUAUAUCAUAUCCUCACAAGCCACACUGCAUCACUUCCUCCAAAACUCUACGUUAGAAGUGAAUCCCUAGGCCCAUAUUCAAAGGGAGAAUUACGUUCUACCUUUGAAGACAGGGUCAAUGAAUUUGUGGACAUAUUUUGAACCACAAUAAUGUUUCCACCCCAUUGCUCAUUCUGUUCCACUGCUCAGAAUGCCCUUUUCCAUAUCUACAGAGUGCAAUCCUACAAGACUUUAUAUAUGCAUUUGGCAGCAUCCCUGGUCUCUUACCACUAGAUUUAAGCAGCACCCUGAACCCUCAUCACGGGAACCAAAGAAAUGUCUCCGGACAUUACCAAAUAUUCCAUGGUGAACACAAAUCACUCCUGUUUUAGACCACAGUUCUAGAUGGUAAGUUCUGUGAUUCUAUUCUUCCACUUCAAUAUUAAAACGGUUUACUAUGUUGAUAUAGUCUCUAGCCCCAAAGACUAUAUUCUAACAAGCUAAGAGAAGAACAAAACUAUUCCUUUUUUAUUUUAUGUUGCUGUCCAACCCUCCUUAGGCUUCCUUCAUUCCUCUGGCCUGGCUCAAAUACCA